RNAcentral lists this ribosomal RNA (412 nucleotides) under uncultured bacterium. Its description in RNAcentral is "bacterial SSU rRNA". It matches the Rfam family "Bacterial small subunit ribosomal RNA", at positions 94 to 518 of the family's 1533-position model. The record is from RNAcentral.
AGCGGCGGACGGGUGAGUAACACGUGGGCAACCUGCCUCAUAGAGAGGAAUAGCCCUUCCGAAAGGGAGAUUAAUACCUCAUAACAUUGCAGUUUCGCAUGAAACAGCAAUUAAAGGAGCAAUCCGCUAUGAGAUGGGGCCCCGCGGCGCAUUAGCUAGUUGGUGAGGUAACGGCUCACCAAGGCGACGAUGCGUAGCCGACCUGAGAGGGUGAUCGGCCACAUUGGGACUGAGACACGGCCCAGACUCCUACGGGAGGCAGCAGUGGGGAAUAUUGCACAAUGGGGGAAACCCUGAUGCAAGCAACGCCGCGUGAGUGAUGACGGCCUUCGGGUUGUAAAGCUCUGUCUUCAGGGACGAUAAUGACGGUACCUGAGGAGGAAGCCACGGCUAACUACGUGCCAGCCGCAGC